UCAAGUAAUUAAGUGCAUGUGGUGGAUGCCUUGGCAGUCAGAGGCGAUGAAAGACGUGAUAGCCUGCGAAAAGCUCGGGAGGCGGCAAAUAUCCUUUGAUCCGGAGAUGUCUGAAUGGGGGAACCCACCUACUUUAAGGUAGGUAUUGCAACAUGAAUACAUAGUGUUGCAAGGCGAACGAGGGGAAGUGAAACAUCUCAGUACCCUUAGGAAAAGAAAUCAAUUGAGAUUCCCUCAGUAGCGGCGAGCGAACGGGGAUCAGCCCAUUAAGUUAUGUGUGUUUUAGUGGAACGCUCUGGGAAGUGCGAACGUAGAGGGUGAUAUUCCCGUACACGAAAGGGCACAUAAUGAUGACGAGUAGGGCGAGGCACGUGAAACCUUGUCUGAAUAUGGGGGGACCAUCCUCCAAGGCUAAAUACUCCUGACUGACCGAUAGUGAACCAGUACCGUGAGGGAAAGGCGAAAAGAACCCCUGUGAGGGGAGUGAAAUAGAUCCUGAAACCGCAUGCAUACAAGCAGUGGGAGCACCUUCGUGGUGUGACUGCGUACCUUUUGUAUAAUGGGUCAGCGACUUAUAUUCAGUAGCGAGGUUAACCGUAUAGGGGAGCCGUAGAGAAAUCGAGUCUUAAUAGGGCGUUUAGUUGCUGGGUAUAGACCCGAAACCAGGCGAUCUAUCCAUGAGCAGGUUGAAGGUUGGGUAACACUAACUGGAGGACCGAACCCACUGUCGUUGAAAAGCCAGGGGAUGACUUGUGGAUAGGGGUGAAAGGCUAAUCAAGCCUGGUGAUAGCUGGUUCUCCCCGAAAGCUAUUUAGGUAGCGCCUCGGACGAAUACCAUAGGGGGUAGAGCACUGUUUCGGCUAGGGGGUCAUCCCGACUUACCAAACCGAUGCAAACUCCGAAUACCUAUGAGUACUAUCCGGGAGACAGACUGCGGGUGCUAACGUCCGUAGUCAAGAGGAAAACAAUCCAGACCGCCAGCUAAGGCCCCAAAAUCAUAGUUAAGUGGGAAACGAUGUGGGAAGGCAUAGACAGCUAGGAGGUUGGCUUAGAAGCAGCCACCCUUUAAAGAAAGCGUAAUAGCUCACUAGUCGAGUCGGCCUGCGCGGAAGAUGUAACGGGGCUAAAACUAUGUGCCGAAGCUGCGGAUGUAUACUUUGUAUACGUGGUAGGGGAGCGUUCUGUAAGCCGAUGAAGGUGUGUUGAGAAGCAUGCUGGAGGUAUCAGAAGUGCGAAUGCUGACGUGAGUAACGACAAAACGGGUGAAAAACCCGUUCGCCGAAAGACCAAGGGUUCCAGUCCAACGUUAAUCGGGGCUGGGUGAGUCGACCCCCUAAGGCGAGGCCGAAAGGCGUAGUCGAUGGGAAAAUGGUUAAUAUUCCAUUACUUCUGUGUAAUGCGAUGAGAGGACGGAGAAGGCUAAAUCAGCCUGGCGUUGGUUGUCCAGGUGAAAGGAUGUAGGCAUGUAUCUUAGGCAAAUCCGGGGUACUCUAUGCUGAGAUCUGAUAGCAAGCUGUACUUGUACAGCGAAGUGGUUGAUGCCAUGCUUCCAGGAAAAGUCUCUAAGCUUCAGUUACACAGGAAUCGUACCCGAAACCGACACAGGUGGUCAGGUCGAGUAGACCAAGGCGCUUGAGAGAACUCUGCUGAAGGAACUAGGCAAAAUGGUACCGUAACUUCGGGAGAAGGUACGCUGUUGUUGGUGAUGGAACUCGCUUCCUGAGCUGACGACAGCCGCAGAAACCAGGCCGCUGCAACUGUUUAUUAAAAACAUAGCACUCUGCAAACACGAAAGUGGACGUAUAGGGUGUGAUGCCUGCCCGGUGCUGGAAGGUUAAUUGAUGGGGUUAGCGUAAGCGAAGCUCUUGAUCGAAGCCCCAGUAAACGGCGGCCGUAACUAUAACGGUCCUAAGGUAGCGAAAUUCCUUGUCGGGUAAGUUCCGACCUGCACGAAUGGCAUAAUGAUGGCGGCGCUGUCUCCAGCAGAGGCUCAGUGAAAUCGAAAUCGCUGUGAAGAUGCAGUGUACCCGCGGCUAGACGGAAAGACCCCGUGAACCUUUACUGCAGCUUGACACUGAACUUUGACCUUACUUGUGUAGGAUAGGUGGGAGGCUUUGAAGCUGGAACGCUAGUUCCAGUGGAGCCGUCCUGAAAUACCACCCUGGUAAUGUUGAGGUUCUAACUCUGUCCCGUGAUCCGGGACGAGGACCGUGUCUGGUGGGUAGUUUGACUGGGCGGUCUCCUCCUAAAGAGUAACGGAGGAGUACGAAGGUGCGCUCAGCGUGGUCGGAAAUCACGCGUAGAGUAUAAAGGCAAAAGCGCGCUUAACUGCGAGACCCACAAGUCGAGCAGGUACGAAAGUAGGUCUUAGUGAUCCGGUGGUUCUGUAUGGAAGGGCCAUCGCUCAACGGAUAAAAGGUACUCUGGGGAUAACAGGCUGAUACCGCCCAAGAGUUCAUAUCGACGGCGGUGUUUGGCACCUCGAUGUCGGCUCAUCUCAUCCUGGGGCUGAAGCAGGUCCCAAGGGUAUGGCUGUUCGCCAUUUAAAGAGGUACGCGAGCUGGGUUUAGAACGUCGUGAGACAGUUCGGUCCCUAUCUACCGUGGGCGCUGGAAAUUUGAGAGGAUCUGCUCCUAGUACGAGAGGACCAGAGUGGACGAACCUCUGGUGUACCGGUUGUGACGCCAGUCGCAUCGCCGGGUAGCUAUGUUCGGAAGGGAUAACCGCUGAAAGCAUCUAAGCGGAAGCCUACCUCAAGAUAAGAUUUCCCUAGGACUUUAUGUCCUCUAAAGAGCCGUUCGAGACUAGGACGUUGAUAGGUUGGAUGUGGAAGCAUAGUGAUAUGUGAAGCUGACCAAUACUAAUUGCUCGUGAGGCUUGACUA
Molecule: ribosomal RNA, 2884 nt
Filed under: Acinetobacter baumannii
Lineage: Bacteria; Pseudomonadati; Pseudomonadota; Gammaproteobacteria; Moraxellales; Moraxellaceae
Description: bacterial LSU rRNA
Rfam family: Bacterial large subunit ribosomal RNA
Source: RNAcentral